Molecule: ribosomal RNA, 545 nt
Filed under: uncultured Bifidobacterium sp.
Lineage: Bacteria; Bacillati; Actinomycetota; Actinomycetes; Bifidobacteriales; Bifidobacteriaceae
Description: bacterial SSU rRNA
Rfam family: Bacterial small subunit ribosomal RNA
Source: RNAcentral
UCUCCUGGAAACGGGUGGUAAUGCCGGAUGUUCCACAUGAGCGCAUGCGAGUGUGGGAAAGGCUUUUUGCGGCAUGGGAUGGGGUCGCGUCCUAUCAGCUUGUUGGUGGGGUAACGGCCUACCAAGGCGUUGACGGGUAGCCGGCCUGAGAGGGCGACCGGCCACAUUGGGACUGAGAUACGGCCCAGACUCCUACGGGAGGCAGCAGUGGGGAAUAUUGCACAAUGGGCGCAAGCCUGAUGCAGCGACGCCGCGUGCGGGAUGGAGGCCUUCGGGUUGUAAACCGCUUUUGUUCAAGGGCAAGGCACGGUUUCGGCCGUGUUGAGUGGAUUGUUCGAAUAAGCACCGGCUAACUACGUGCCAGCAGCCGCGGUAAUACGUAGGGUGCAAGCGUUAUCCGGAUUUAUUGGGCGUAAAGGGCUCGUAGGCGGUUCGUCGCGUCCGGUGUGAAAGUCCAUCGCUUAACGGUGGAUCCGCGCCGGGUACGGGCGGGCUUGAGUGCGGUAGGGGAGACUGGAAUUCCCGGUGUAACGGUGGAAUGUGUA